UGCACUAAAGUACCUCGUACAUUAAAGUUUGAUUUUAAAAGAGAUGAUUAAUUUCAUCUAGUGCAU
Molecule: transfer RNA, 66 nt
Filed under: Linognathus africanus
Lineage: Eukaryota; Metazoa; Arthropoda; Insecta; Psocodea; Linognathidae
Description: tRNA-Gln
Source: RNAcentral